GUGGUUUAGUGGUAUAAUACCCCCUUAGCAAUUGGAUCAGACUCAGUCUGAUCUCGAACUGGGGGUGGUCCGGGGUUCGAUUCCCCGCGAGUCCA
Non-coding RNA from Coniosporium tulheliwenetii, 95 nucleotides. The record is from the annotation of a GenBank genome assembly. Lineage: Eukaryota; Fungi; Ascomycota; Dothideomycetes.